CCAGUUUGAUUAUGGCUAAUAUUGCCGCUGGGGGCAGGCCUAACACAUGCCAAUUUAACGGGAACAGGAAACAAGUUGCUGUUUCGCUGACCAGUGGCGGACGGGUGAGUAAUGUCUGGGAAACUGCCUGAUGGAGGGGGAUAACUACUGGAAACGGUUUUUAAUCCCGCAUAACGUCGCAAGACCAAAGGGGGGGACCCUCGGGCCUCUUGCCAUCGGAUGUGCCCAGAUGGGAUUAGCUUGCUGGUGGGGUAACGGCUCCCCACGGCGACCAUCCCUGCCUGGUCUGAAAGGAUGACCAGCCACACUGGAACUGAUACACGGUCCGAACUCCUACAGGAGGUGGCAGCGGGGAAUAUUGCACAAUGGGGAUUAGCCUGAGGCCCCCAUGCCUUACGUAUGAAGAAGGCCUUCGGGUUGUAAAGUGCUUCCUCUGGGGAGGAAGGGAGUAAAGUUAAGACUUUUGUUCAUUGCCUUCCCCCCCGCAAAAAGCACCUGAUAACUCCAAGGCCUUCUCCAUACACAUACCGAGGGUGCAUGCGGUUAGCGCAAUUACUGGACGAUACCCGAAUGCUGGCUGCUUGAUGAGUCUGAUGCGAAAUCUCCCGGCCUCAACCUGGGAACUGCAUCUGAUACUGGCUAGCUUGAGUCUCGUAGAGGGGGGUAGAAUUCCACCUACUAGCGGAUAAAUGCGUAGAGAUCUCCGAUGAAUACAGGCGGCGAAAGGCC
This 729-nucleotide ribosomal RNA is filed under the name uncultured Gammaproteobacteria bacterium. RNAcentral describes it as "bacterial SSU rRNA". It matches the Rfam family "Bacterial small subunit ribosomal RNA", at positions 9 to 723 of the family's 1533-position model. Lineage: Bacteria; Pseudomonadati; Pseudomonadota; Gammaproteobacteria. The record is from RNAcentral.